RNAcentral lists this ribosomal RNA (848 nucleotides) under uncultured archaeon. RNAcentral describes it as "bacterial SSU rRNA". It matches the Rfam family "Archaeal small subunit ribosomal RNA", at positions 12 to 859 of the family's 1478-position model. The record is from RNAcentral.
UCCUGCCAGAGGUUACUGCUAUCGGUGUUCGCCUAAGCCAUGCGAGUCAUAUGUUCUUCGUGAACAUGGCGUACUGCUCAGUAACACGUGGAUAACCUGCCCUUGGGUCCGGCAUAACCCCGGGAAACUGGGGAUAAUUCCGGAUACCGCAUAUCUGCUGGAAUGCUUUAUGCGUAAAAUGGAUUCGUCUGCCCAAGGAUGGGUCUGCGGCCUAUCAGGUAGUAGUGGGUGUAACGUACCUACUAGCCAACGACGGGUACGGGUUGUGAGAGCAAGAGCCCGGAGAUGGAUUCUGAGACAUGAAUCCAGGCCCUACGGGGCGCAGCAGGCGCGAAAACUUUACAAUGCGGGAAACCGUGAUAAGGGGACACCGAGUGCCAGCAUCAUAUGCUGGCUGUCCGGGUGUGUAAAAUACACCUGUUAGCAAGGGCCGGGCAAGACCGGUGCCAGCCGCCGCGGUAACACCGGCGGCCCGAGUGGUGAUCGUGAUUAUUGGGUCUAAAGGGUCCGUAGCCGGUUUGGUCAGUCCUCCGGGAAAUCUGACGGCUUAACCGUUAGGCUUUCGGGGGAUACUGCCAGGCUUGGAACCGGGAGAGGUAAGAGGUACUACAGGGGUAGGAGUGAAAUCUUGUAAUCCCUGUGGGACCACCUGUGGCGAAGGCGUCUUACCAGAACGGGUUCGACGGUGAGGGACGAAAGCUGGGGGCACGAACCGGAUUAGAUACCCGGGUAGUCCCAGCCGUAAACGAAGCUCGCUAGGUGUCAGGCAUGGCGCGACCGUGUCUGGUGCCGCAGGGAAGCCGUGAAGCGAGCCACCUGGGAAGUACGGCCGCAAGGCUGAAACUUAA